AGUGAACGCUGGCGGCAUGCCUAACACAUGCAAGUCGAACGGAAGCACAGUGAGAGCGUGCUUCUACGGGUGGCGGCUGGCGGGCGGGUGAGGAGUAGAUCAGAAACUUCUUUUUCUUGGGGAAUUACGGAGAGAAACUUAUGCUAAUACCGCAUACAUUCUACCGGUGAGAGCAGGAGUGCUUGGCACCUUUCCUGUUUCAUAGAGACGGUUUCGCGCCGCAUUAGCGAGUUGGUAAGGUAACGGCUUACCAAGGCGACGAUGCGUAGCUGAUCUGAGAGGAUGAUCAGCCACACUGGAACUGAGACACGGUCCAGACUCCUACGGGAGGCAGCAGUGGGGAAUCUUCGACAAUGGGCGAAAGCCUGAUCCAGCAAUGCCGCGUGAGUGAAGAAGGCCUUCGGGUUGUAAAGCCCUUUUGUUGGGAAAGAAAAGCAGCGGAAUAAUCUACCGCUGUUUUGACGGUACCCAAAGAAUAAGCACCGGCUAACUACGUG
This 497-nucleotide ribosomal RNA is filed under the name uncultured bacterium. Its description in RNAcentral is "partial 16S ribosomal RNA". It matches the Rfam family "Bacterial small subunit ribosomal RNA", at positions 29 to 507 of the family's 1533-position model. The record is from RNAcentral.